This 1390-nucleotide long non-coding RNA is filed under the name Rattus norvegicus (Norway rat). Its description in RNAcentral is "long non-coding RNA NONRATT011045". Lineage: Eukaryota; Metazoa; Chordata; Mammalia; Rodentia; Muridae. The record is from RNAcentral.
GAUCCUGAGGAGGAAGAAUUGGCUCCAGUUCUUUCAUCAUCACAUAUCCCUGACAAUAGGGUCCAGGGGCACAGAGAGGAGCUGAGCCAGACAAAGGAUCCAGGUGCAGAGGCAGCUUCACUCCCACAGGUGGGUGUGCUUGUUGACAGCCCCUCCAGUCUGCCAGAGGCCUUGCUGGAACCAACCCACAUCCUUCCACCCUCCCAGGAACACAAGGUAGUGAUGGAUCUAUGUUAAUCAGGUGAUAGAAUGGUACAGGGUAGGGAACAUGGGGAUGUGUAAGUGUCCCCCAAAUCCAAGUUUUAGGAAAAUGACAGGAUUCCAGUUUGGAGCAGGUGAUUUGCAGUUAAGCAGCUUUAUUAGGGAUGUAUAUAGAUGCUUUUUAUGACGAGCUCUUAUUCUCUGUUCAGCAGGAUCUCUCCCACUGGGAUAAGGUCAAGGUUCUGCUCAAUCGGAUCCGUUGGAGGAGCCCUCGACUUCCUGAGCCUCCUGUUCCCCCUGAUAGUUCUGGACCCAGGAUGGAGUUCAGGAAUCUCUCUGAAAGGACUCCAGGCCAUUCCCAACGGAAGAUCUUUAUUCCAACAUUGGUCGUUAAGAAGCCACGAGCAAAAAAUCUUUCUGUAUGACCUCUUGGCACCUGAGUGGAGAGGAUUUGCCAAGAAGUCCCUCACAUUUUGGCUUACUGCUGCUUCUCUGCACUGCCAGGAGAAGCGAUUGGUGCUUUCUCCUCUUCACGGUGAAGGCCAAGUCCUUCUCUAAGCAUCGAGGCAAAGAGCCCUGGUUUCCCAAGAGGCACUCAAGUGCAGUUUCAGCACUCUUCCCGGGCUCUUCCUCUUUGUCAUAAAGCUCUGGGCUUAAGCAAAGUGAACUGACUUAUUUAUCAGGUACUCACAGAGUAUGUUAGUAUGGGAAUGUGUCUGCAUGUUGCAGAUGUAUGUCUAUGCUAUCUUUGUUGGACUUUUGACUGCCUGAAUCCAAUCAUCUGAUGGAAUAAUUUGUCCAAAGGGUUGGUGUUUUGGGUGUCACUGGAAGGAUGGCACUGAUCUUCAUUCCACAAUGAACAGUUACUGAUGUGGAUUUCUUCCUCAUACCGGAGACAGCAGCCCUAGGACCAAGAACAACACUGCCUUGGGUACCUUUGUCAUAAGUCAUGGCUCUGGAGCACAGCCCUUGAAGACUGAAUGAGGAAUUGGGGGGGGGGGCAGAGAUCAUGACCAUUGUGAGGAACAACAUAUAAUUUGCAAGGUCAACUCUAAGAUGCUGUGUUGUAUCCUGGAGUUUAGACCAUAGCAAAGUCUCUUAAUUUCUGAGCCACAGCUUCCUACUUGGGAUGAUGCCUGCCUUACCUACCUCAUAAGCUUGUUAGGAGAUAAAGUAACAUUAAACCUUC